CCCGUAUAAUGUCUUUUUCGUCGUUAUUCCUCAUCCAAGGACCAUCGUUCUUCAUCUUUCGAGAAGCCGAGAAUAAAAAACGACCACCCUCAACACACCAUAUCCAAUUCCCCUCUCCAUACCCAUCAACGACCCCUCUCCAUUACAUUUAGAAAACGAGAAAAAUAGCAAAAAGUCAUCGCCCACAUCACCAACGAGAUCCCCUGAUCUCUCGGGUACCAACCAAUAGAAGCUUUCAUUUGAGUCGCGUUUCAGUUUCCUUGUCUUCGAUCAACUGAAUAUCGAAGUUGAGAUGCUUGAAAUUUCGGACAACAAGGUCUACAUCUUAUUCCGUCAAAGUUCGAGUGUCGUCCAAUGAGAUUCCGCCUCAUCGAGUUCCUGAACUGUUUUUCUUAUUUGCUCUUGGAUUACCUACUUGAAAGCUCAUUAUUUUGUUCAAGGUUUUCUUCUUCCUCCAUUUCUUUUCGUUCCACUUAUGUGAUAAAUCGCUGCUUCAGUUGUGAUAUAAGUUUAAUGUGAAUUUGAGACUUGUGUUUGCCUGAUUCUUUGCAUCUGAUCCUCUGUAGUAUUUUUACUGAUUUUCGACUAUAUGUGAUGAAAUAUUUUCAUGAAUCAUUCUCCAGAUGCUUGGAUCAUAUGUUGUUCAAACAUAUCGUUGUGAGAGUUGCUAAUGUGGUCUUUGUGAAUACAUAUUGUGUGUUUGAGUUUUUUUUGUUUUAAUUAGUUACCAUUUUUUAUUCGUUCCUUCAUUUUCAGUUCGAAAUAUGUGCAAGCUAAGUUAUGUCAUUUUCUGUUUGUUAGUAGUUUAGGAAAAACUCGUUCUUGGCCUGUUACUUUGUAGCUAGCUAGUAUAAUAAACCAUAAACUUUUGAUGUUAUGGGUUAAUUGGCAAGGUAAAUAUUGUUUUCCCUUUUAUUGCUGCAUUACUUCAUCUUGGCCUUUAAUUUUCUUUGUGCUAUUUGUAAAUACCAUCACGCAUUACUGUUAAAGCCAGAAUACGAAGAGAUGGGGGUAUUUGUUUUUCAUGGAAUGUGCUUGUGUUUAUUUCAUUUGGACUAAAAAUAUUAUUUGUACUAACUUAUGAUUGUUCAAUGUCUUAACUGCAAGCUAUAUUUAUUCAAUUCACUCCUACCACAGCCAGGUAGGCGAACCUUUAGGCAGGUAAUUAGAUCAUCACAACAACGGGUUUAGUUUUCAUGACAUGGUUGUGAUACUUGAUCUCAAAUUAGUUGUAAAAGUGAAUAUCCAUAGUCUAUUUAGUUGAAUGAACUUCCUUCAAUUAAUCGAAGUGCGUCAUGCCAAACAAAAUUGAAAAAUUGUGUGGCCUUUUUAAUUGCUCCUUUAAAAUAAUUAGAACUCGAGAAAGCCAUUUAGCUAUUUUUCUUGGCCCUCAUAAUAUUAACAACGCGUUAGUUGCUUUAGGGCGCGUUAUUUAAUAAUUUUUCCUUCGUAAACUCGAGUUCAAAUUUAUGUGACCCAAAUCCAAAUCUCGACGAUGCUAAAAUAUGUCUAAAACUACAGGUGCAUUAACAUGACGUGGUUCGAGACAUGUUUUGAUAACGUUGCAAUCUUCUAAAAAUUAAAUAAAAAUGAUUAAUGUCAAAAUUUGCACAUACGUUCAUAAUUAUUAAAAUCAGAUAACCAAGCCAAGUAUAAAAUUUGAGUGACCGUGCUAGAACAACAGAACUCAAGAGUUCCUAACACCUUAUCCCUGGUUAACAGAAUUCUAUACCCUGAUUUCUGGCUCGCAGACUGUAUAUAGAGUCAAAACUUCCUUGAUUCGGGAUUUAAACCAGUGUCUUGGGACACCAUAGAUUAUCCCAAGUGGUGACUCUAAAUUUAUUAAAUAAAUAGAUCUCGUUUAGAUUGUCCUUUAACUGAAAAAACUCAUUUAUCUACGCCCAUCAUUUAAAAAAGAUUUGUGACAGCUCUGGCGACACUGCUAGGGAUUAGUACCUAGAAUUUCUAGUUUAGGGUUCAAGAAUUCGAGCAUAGAAUAACUGUUGUAUUUGCCUUUGUUUAUUAUCUGAUUUUAUUACAUGUUUUGGCCUGAUGUGCUAAAUGUUGCGUUUUUACCGCUUUGAUAUUAUCUGAACUGUACAUAUAAAUUACUACGAAACCCAUCUCUUUUCUCUUCGAGGAUGUGCUCGCUGAUCGAGACUCCCUAUUCUGUUACUGUCAUACCUUAGAAUAAGAAAGAGGCUCUGACAACUUACAAAGCCGGAUGGCCUUUUGGUUCCCGGUACAUAACCCCCUUCUCAACUCGAGUUGUCUGCUCGGGCACACAGUCUAAAACAUAUAUCCAUAUUUUGAACCUAGAAUAACUUAAUCUCAUGUCGGAGCCCUAUUAGGAGUGGUUAUUUGCAUCAUGUAUUUGACUUGGGGACUCAACACAGGGGUUAGGUCCGUCGAGGACAGGUGCACCCAAAAUAAAAGACCAUCUUGAUGCAUCUUAUGUGUUGCGAGUUGCAUUUAUUCGAGGGAAAAACGUCAUUUGACGGACAAAUGAAAGCAGAGGGAAUAUGAAAAAAAAAGAAAUAGGGAGAAGUGAAGUAUAAAAAUAAAGAAAGUACGGCUCGAUUAUAUUAUCUGUCACAUUUUUUAAAAAGAAAAAGAAAAAAAGAGCAUGAAAAAUUCAAAAAAUUGUACUUUUUUCUAUCAUUUUACAAAAAUAAAAAAUAAAAGAAAAGGGCAAAAGAAAAUUUAAAAAGUGUUUACAUGUUUCAUUAAUAUUUUUCAAAAAAAGGGACAAAAAAUAUUUUCUCAAAAAUUUAGCUGUUUUUUAUUCUAGCCCGCUCGAACUACGCAUACCUGAUUCUUGUCUUUUGGACGGUGAUACAUAGGCAAACCACAUAGGGUCCGUCUUCCUAGUAAAUCUUAGGUUCUUGCCUUUGCGGGGAUUUAGCCAUGUUUUGCACUUCUACCCACCUUUUGGCUAAAUAGGUCAUUUUGCAAAAUAAUCACAGCCUUAUCUUGCAUAUGUCAAAUAGGGAAUGUUUAUUGUUUUACAUAGUGUUAGUUUAUGUUUUCUCAUACAGGUGCAGAUUUACCUACAGGAGUUUGAGCAUGACAGAUGCCCCAGGAUCACUGCACUCUGGAGCCGCCCGAGGAGACA
RNAcentral lists this long non-coding RNA (3115 nucleotides) under Nicotiana benthamiana. Its description in RNAcentral is "long non-coding RNA (NBEN_LNC014217)". Lineage: Eukaryota; Viridiplantae; Streptophyta; Magnoliopsida; Solanales; Solanaceae. The record is from RNAcentral.